UACGAGCGGCGCAACCGUUAUUCGGAUUUACUGGGCUUAAAGAGUUCGUAGGCGGCGCAGCAAGUAGGGUGUGAAAGCCCUCGGCUCAACCGAGGAAUUGCGCUCUAAACUACUGUGCUUGAGGAAGCUAGAGGUGAGCGGAACUGAUGGUGGAGCGGUGAAAUGCGUUGAUAUCAUCAGGAACACCGGAGGCGAAGGCGGCUCACUGGGGCUUAUCUGACGCUGAGGAACGAAAGCCAGGGGAGCGAACGGG
RNAcentral lists this ribosomal RNA (253 nucleotides) under uncultured bacterium. RNAcentral's name for it is "partial 16S ribosomal RNA". It matches the Rfam family "Bacterial small subunit ribosomal RNA", at positions 524 to 776 of the family's 1533-position model. The record is from RNAcentral.